This 541-nucleotide ribosomal RNA is filed under the name Lepismachilis y-signata. Its description in RNAcentral is "eukaryotic LSU rRNA". The stretch from base 411 to 541 matches the Rfam family "Eukaryotic large subunit ribosomal RNA", at positions 1 to 131 of the family's 3401-position model. The record is from RNAcentral. Lineage: Eukaryota; Metazoa; Arthropoda; Insecta; Archaeognatha; Machilidae.
CAUUGCGGCUCGGGAUCUCGGUCCCGGGCCACACCUGGCUGAGGGUCGCGUGAAACAAGUACCGGGAUUGAUACCCCCCGGGGUUGUGCAACGUUCCCCUCGAGUGCCCAGUGCCCCAAAGAGGGUCUCUCGGCCCCUGUGUCUUGGCAGGGGACAGUGACACUCUCUGUGCGGCUCCGGGUGUGGCGGCGAACGCGCAUCGAAUGUUGAGACUGGGGGUCCGCAACAGGCGUACCAGCUCGCCUCUGUGACAGUCUGCGAGUCGGGAGCCCGGUGGCACCAAACACCGGGGAGCCCGGCCCCUGUUAAGGCGAGCCGUGUGCACGCGGACCGUGACCGAGACGGGGCGCCCUUGAAAUCAGAAGGGCGCUCCGGUCCCGACCUCUGGACUCUGAGAAAGUCUUCUCUGGCGACCUCAGCUCAGGUGAGACUACCCGCUAAAUUUAAGCAUAUUAAUAAGCGGAGGAAAAGAAACUAACAAGGAUUCCCUGAGUAGCGGCGAGCGAAAAGGGAAAAGCCCAGCACCGAAUCUCGUACCGUG